CGUACAUAUCAAUACAUUAUAUCCUCCUCACUUCCACUAGGAUUCCGCGGCAUGAAACGUCAGUAUAAUCUUAAUAUUUUAUUUUAAUAAUCAUACCAAACAAACACUAUGCCUCCUUUCGAUUUCAAAGAGAUUCAAGACAAGCUUUCCCAUUCCUUGAGACCUUGGCAACGCUCCUUACAGUUUUGGGUUCGAGCUGUUGAUAUCUAUACGGGCUACAAGGCGUUUCAAGUUCGAGUUAGCUUCGUGAAAGAUGUCCAGAAGCAAGAGGCAAUGUGGGAACAACAACAUGAGCUUGCUGCUCAGAAGAUUUAUGCAAUGUGCUCUGAACUUGGUGGCUUCUUUCUUAAGAUUGCCCAAAUUGUUGGGAAGCCUGACUUGGCCCCAGCUGCAUGGGUGAGAAGGCUUGUUACACUGUGUGAUCAAGCUCCUGCAACUCCAUUCGAGGCUGUUCAACUCGUUCUGGAGAGGGAAUUAGGUCGAAGUAUUGGCGACAUUUUUGAAAGCUUUGAUGUAAAUCCUCUUGGUUCUGCUUCUAUUGCGCAGGUUCACCGAGCAAGAUUCAGAGGUGAUAAUAGUGAUGUUGUUGUAAAGGUGCAACAUCCAGGAGUUCAGGAUCUGAUGAUGACAGACAUCCGUAACGUGCAAGCAUUUGCUUACUACUUGCAAAAGACAGAUAUUAUGUUUGAUCUACUUUCUGUGACAAAAGAAAUGGAGAAACAGAUUGGAUAUGAGUUUGACUUUAAAAGAGAGGGAGAUGCGAUGGAGAGAAUUCGGCAGUUUUUGUACAAGAAUAACAAAAAGUCUCCUGUUGUGGUGCCACGGCUACUGCAUGAUAUGGUUACCAGGAAAGUCUUAGUGAUGGAAUACAUUGAUGGGACCCCGAUCCUAAAUCUUGGUGAUGAAAUAGCAAAAAGAGGAAUCAAUCCUGGUGGUAAGAUUGCAGCAGCAGCAAAGCAGAACAUACUUAAGAGUUUGACUCUAGCAUAUGGACAAAUGAUACUGAAGAGUGGAUUCUUCCAUGCAGAUCCUCAUCCGGGAAAUAUCCUGAUUUGUAAAGGUUCAGAGUCAGGUUGCCUUAUUAGACUAUGGACAAGUAAAGGAUCUUCCAGACAAGUUGAGGCUUGGAUAUGCUAAUUUAGUUCUUGCCAUAGCUGAUAGUGACCCCAUUAGAGUGAUGGAGAGCUACAGGGAGCUUGGCAUAGGCACAUUAAGCAAAUGUGAGAAUGAACAACAGGAAUUGCUUAAGUUGGCCCAGACAAUGUUUGAUACAAAACUGCCUCCUGGAAUGACAAUGCUACAACCCUUCUCAGAGGAAUCUUCAAUUAAG
Pistacia vera is the source of this 1330-nucleotide RNA transcript. RefSeq lists it as uncharacterized. The transcript is spliced from 10 exons. The record is from RefSeq and is a predicted model, not a curated record. NCBI's taxonomy places the organism in Eukaryota, Viridiplantae, Streptophyta, Magnoliopsida, Sapindales, Anacardiaceae.